CACGGGGCCAUGUGAGUCCAAACAGGAUGACAACAUGCGUUUUGCGAUACUGACGUAUGUUGGAGGAAGUCUCUAAGUGCGGAUGCAGAACCUCAGCCCUCUUCUGAAGCAGAGACGUCCAUGGGUCUAGUGUUUGGGAAACACAACUUUGGAACACUCCAGCCUCUGGGAUGAAGUCCUUGCUCCUUAGAGAAGUGUUCGAGGGCCUUGGGCUUGCAUGUGCUUAUCUCCCCAGGACAUCACCUCUUUGCACCGACAGAUGUGGAGCUUUUCGGACACCACCCAAAUUUCAUUUAUUUAUUUAUUUGUCAAAGAGAAAGAGA
This is a long non-coding RNA of Neogale vison (American mink), 323 nucleotides long. RefSeq lists it as uncharacterized. NCBI's taxonomy places the organism in Eukaryota, Metazoa, Chordata, Mammalia, Carnivora, Mustelidae. The transcript has 3 exons. The record is from RefSeq and is a predicted model, not a curated record.